Molecule: ribosomal RNA, 333 nt
Filed under: Escherichia coli
Lineage: Bacteria; Pseudomonadati; Pseudomonadota; Gammaproteobacteria; Enterobacterales; Enterobacteriaceae
Description: partial 23S ribosomal RNA
Rfam family: Bacterial large subunit ribosomal RNA
Source: RNAcentral
GGUUAAGCGACUAAGCGUACACGGUGGAUGCCCUGGCAGUCAGAGGCGAUGAAGGACGUGCUAAUCUGCGAUAAGCGUCGGUGAGGUGAUAUGAACCGUUAUAACCGGCGAUUUCCGAAUGGGGAAACCCAGUGUGUUUCGACACACUAUCAUUAACUGAAUCCAUAGGUUAAUGAGGCGAACCGGGGGAACUGAAACAUCUAAGUACCCCGAGGAAAAGAAAUCAACCGAGAUUCCCCCAGUAGCGGCGAGCGAACGGGGAGGAGCCCAGAGCCUGAAUCAGUGUGUGUGUUAGUGGAAGCGUCUGGAAAGGCGCGCGAUACAGGGUGACAG